RNAcentral lists this ribosomal RNA (253 nucleotides) under uncultured bacterium. RNAcentral describes it as "partial 16S ribosomal RNA". It matches the Rfam family "Bacterial small subunit ribosomal RNA", at positions 524 to 776 of the family's 1533-position model. The record is from RNAcentral.
GACAGAGGGGGCAAGCGUUGCUCGGAAUCACUGGGCGUAAAGGGCGCGUAGGCGGGAUGGCAAGUCAGUCGUGAAAUCUCUCGGCUCAACCGAGAAACGUCGGCUGAUACUGCCGUUCUUGAGGGAUGCAGAGGAGACUGGAAUUCCCGGUGUAGCGGUGAAAUUCGUAGAUAUCAGGUGGAACACCAGUGGCGAAGGCGGCUUUCUGGACGAUAACUGACGCUGAGACGCGAAAGCGUGGGGAGCAAACAGG